GGCCCUCUGCACAGUCUGUGAAUGUGUCCAGCUCAUAACUGGGGUAAGCCGGGUUAGAUUCCCGGGAGGGCCACCA
This 76-nucleotide transfer RNA is filed under the name Aeromonas phage Aes508. RNAcentral's name for it is "tRNA-Met". RNAcentral also lists the same sequence under 2 other names. Lineage: Duplodnaviria; Heunggongvirae; Uroviricota; Caudoviricetes; Pantevenvirales; Straboviridae. The record is from RNAcentral.